Perkinsus marinus ATCC 50983 is the source of this 72-nucleotide non-coding RNA. The record is from Rfam. NCBI's taxonomy places the organism in Eukaryota, Perkinsozoa, Perkinsida, Perkinsidae.
GGUUUUAUGGUGUAACGGUUAGCACUCCAGACUCUGAAUCUGGCGAUCUGGGUUCAAACCCCGGUAAAACCU